CACAUGAAGAGACGAGAAGGAUGCACAUAAAGAAACGAGAAGGAUGCACAUGAAGAGACGAGGAAUUUAAAUCAAUUACCUCAAUUAUAUAUUACAGAAUUGUAUAUUCUGUAAUAUAUAAUUGAGGUAAUUAAGUUAAUUCAUUUGAUAUUGCAACAUGCGGGCAGAGUGUUGCAAAAUCUUUUAUAAACCUUAGUGCCUUACCGAAAUAAUUAAACAACCUUUUGGAUGAAAUCGAAAAGAGUUGAGCAGAGAAUAUAUUGCAUGAGACAUUCGUUAAUUAUCUUGUUUUUAUCUAGGUAUUUUUGAAUUAUAUCGCAUGUAAUAAAUCGUUUGACAAUGUUACAGAACACUGCAUGUGUUAUAACAUUGAGGGGUGUUAUAACACAAUGCACGGUUCAAACGAUAAGCUUUCCGCGAGUCUUAUAAUCUUCAAAGAGUUGUUCACUUAACAUACAUGUUCAAUCAUGUACAGUCAUGGAUAUCAAUGUUUUAGCAUGAUAAAACUAUUACAAUGCGAAAGCACGAUCUCCAUAAUCACUUGCCAUGAUAUUGUUGUUGCAUUUUUAUAGACAUGUCGAGCGUACGGACAGUGAAAGAACGCGAACUCUGGCAGUGGUACAAGAGAUGAAGAUCAAGAAGAAGAUAGAGGAGUACGUUAUUAUUUUUCCUGUCCUAAUCUUAACUUGUUUUAGAUUUUCGUUUAGAUGAGGAGGAGGCUGA
This is a long non-coding RNA of Xenia sp. Carnegie-2017, 723 nucleotides long. RefSeq lists it as uncharacterized. The transcript has 2 exons. NCBI's taxonomy places the organism in Eukaryota, Metazoa, Cnidaria, Anthozoa, Malacalcyonacea, Xeniidae. The record is from RefSeq and is a predicted model, not a curated record.